Molecule: ribosomal RNA, 492 nt
Filed under: uncultured bacterium
Lineage: Bacteria
Description: partial 16S ribosomal RNA
Rfam family: Bacterial small subunit ribosomal RNA
Source: RNAcentral
AGUGAACGCUGGCGGUAGGCCUAACACAUGCAAGUCGAACGGCAGCACAGUAAGAGCUUGCUCUUACGGGUGGCGAGUGGCGGACGGGUGAGGAAUACAUCGGAAUCUACUUUUUCGUGGGGGAUAACGUAGGGAAACUUACGCUAAUACCGCAUACGACCUACGGGUGAAAGCAGGGGAUCUUCGGACCUUGCGCGAUUGAAUGAGCCGAUGUCGGAUUAGCUAGUUGGCGGGGUAAAGGCCCACCAAGGCGACGAUCCGUAGCUGGUCUGAGAGGGUGAUCGGCCACACUGGAACUGAGACACGGUCCAGACUCCUACGGGAGGCAGCAGUGGGGAAUAUUGGACAAUGGGCGCAAGCCUGAUCCAGCCAUACCGCGUGGGUGAAGAAGGCCUUCGGGUUGUAAAGCCCUUUUGUUGGGAAAGAAAAGCAGCAGGUUAAUCCCCCGCUGUUCUGACGGUACCCAAAGAAUAAGCACCGGCUAACUUCGUG